CAUUCCACCACUUAGGACCUGACAACUGUGUGGCCCACAAAAUCUUACUGAUUUCAGGUAGAAGUAGUAACUGAAGAUGUCAAGCAAAACAGCAACCACCAACAACAUUGCCCAGGCAAGGAGAACUGUGCAACAGUUAAGACUAGAAGCCUCUAUUGAAAGAAUAAAGGUUUCAAAGGCAUCAGCAGACCUCAUGUCCUACUGCGAAGAGCAUGCCAGGAGCGACCCUCUGCUGAUAGGGAUACCAACUUCAGAAAACCCUUUCAAGGAUAAAAAAACUUGCAUCAUUUUAUAGAGGAAAGUGAAAACAUUGCCUUGCCU
Molecule: RNA transcript, 321 nt
Organism: Condylura cristata (star-nosed mole)
Lineage: Eukaryota; Metazoa; Chordata; Mammalia; Eulipotyphla; Talpidae
Exons: 3
Source: RefSeq, a predicted model, not a curated record